This 428-nucleotide ribosomal RNA is filed under the name uncultured Bacillaceae bacterium. RNAcentral describes it as "bacterial SSU rRNA". It matches the Rfam family "Bacterial small subunit ribosomal RNA", at positions 355 to 774 of the family's 1533-position model. Lineage: Bacteria; Bacillati; Bacillota; Bacilli; Caryophanales; Bacillaceae. The record is from RNAcentral.
UAGGGAAUCUUCCGCAAUGGACGAAAGUCUGACGGAGCAACGCCGCGUGAACGAUGAAGGCCUUCGGGUCGUAAAGUUCUGUUGUUAGGGAAGAACAAGUACCGUUCAAAUAGGGCGGUACCUUGACGGUACCUAACCAGAAAGCCACGGCUAACUACGUGCCAGCAGCCGCGGUAAUACGUAGGUGGCAAGCGUUGUCCGGAAUUAUUGGGCGUAAAGCGCGCGCAGGCGGUCUCUUAAGUCUGAUGUGAAAUCUCGCGGCUCAACCGCGAGCGGCCAUUGGAAACUGGGAGGCUUGAGUGCAGAAGAGGAGAGUGGAAUUCCAUGUGUAGCGGUGAAAUGCGUAGAUAUAUGGAGGAACACCAGUGGCGAAGGCGACUCUCUGGUCUGUAACUGACGCUGAGGCGCGAAAGCGUGGGGAGCAAACA